This 408-nucleotide ribosomal RNA is filed under the name uncultured bacterium. RNAcentral's name for it is "partial 16S ribosomal RNA". It matches the Rfam family "Bacterial small subunit ribosomal RNA", at positions 28 to 526 of the family's 1533-position model. The record is from RNAcentral.
GACGAACGCUGGCGGCGUGCUUAACACAUGCAAGUCGAACGAAGUGGCGAACGGGUGAGUAACGCGUAAUCAACCUGCCCUUCAGAGGGGGAUAACAGUUGGAACCGACUGCUAAUACCGCAUACUGAAGGAGGGGAAUGCGUCUGAUUAGCUGGUGGGCGGGGUAACGGCCCACCAAGGCGAUGAUCAGUAGCCGGGCGGAGAGGAGGAACGGCCAGAUUGGGACUGAGUAACGGCCCAGACUCAUACGGGGUGCAGCAGUGGGUAAUCUUCCGAAAGGGACGAAAGUGUGACGGAGCAACGCCGCGUGAGUGAUGACGGCCUUCGGGUUGUAAAGCUCGGUUAAUCGGGACGCGGUACCGGAAUAGAAAGCCACGGCUAACUACGUGCCAGCAGCCGCGGUAAUAC